Molecule: ribosomal RNA, 270 nt
Filed under: uncultured archaeon
Lineage: Archaea
Description: partial 16S ribosomal RNA
Rfam family: Archaeal small subunit ribosomal RNA
Source: RNAcentral
CAGCACCUCAAGUGGUCAGGAUGAUUAUUGGGCCUAAAGCAUCCGUAGCCGGCUCUGUAAGUUUUCGGUUAAAUCUGUACGCUCAACGUACAGGCUGCCGGGGAUACUGCAGAGCUAGGGAGUGGGAGAGGUAGACGGUACUCGGUAGGAAGGGGUAAAAUCCUUUGAUCUCUUGAUGACCACCUGUGGCGAAGGCGGUCUACCAGAACACGUCCGACGGUGAGGGAUGAAAGCUGGGGGAGCAAACCGGAUUAGAUACCCGCGUAGUCC